RNAcentral lists this unclassified non-coding RNA (22 nucleotides) under Mus musculus (house mouse). RNAcentral's name for it is "oocyte_clustered_small_RNA14272". The record is from RNAcentral. Lineage: Eukaryota; Metazoa; Chordata; Mammalia; Rodentia; Muridae.
UUCAAAUUGAUCCCAGAGGCGC